Molecule: long non-coding RNA, 797 nt
Organism: Humulus lupulus (European hop)
Lineage: Eukaryota; Viridiplantae; Streptophyta; Magnoliopsida; Rosales; Cannabaceae
Exons: 3
Source: RefSeq, a predicted model, not a curated record
UACCACAGUUGUAUAUUUAUUGGUGGACAUUUUGAUCUUUGGUUGUGGUGGUCUGGGGCUCUUAGUUGUUUGGUUCUUAGCUUCAUUCCUCUUCUUGUAGGUAGGGCUUUUGUGCAUUAUAUGUAUGCUUUUUUGUAAGAGUGAAAUCCAAACUAAAGAGCAUGCAGAAGGAUAACACUAGCACCCCAUUAACACCAACUGGUCGGGUUCGACAUCGAAGACGUUCAAAUGAGGUUAGUCACAUCAUAAAAUCAAGUUUUGGUCAUUGUCAUUCACAUUUAAAAUUAAUGAUGUUGUAUUUAUUGGGUUUUGGGUUUGUUAUAAUAGAUGGGAUGAUGGGUACAAUUGAAAUUUGAAAUUUUUCUAAUAAUAGCUGAUAUUCAACCUUGGAUUUUUUUUUUGAGAUAUCCUGUUGGCCUCUCAGGUUGUUCCAGAUGCAUUUGUUAUAAGAGAUGGGAUGAUGGGUACAAUUACUUCUUCCUUUUUUUUCUCCUUUUCUUUUAUAAGAUGCAUCUACAAGAUACUUGAACUCGGUAUCAUUCGCACAAAUGAGAAUUGCUUGGAACUCAGGCUAUCUGCAAACUUCCGUUUAUCGAAGAAACCAGCCUUCUCUCAGAAGUUGCCAGAGUAGAAAACACAUUGACGGAUGAGGAGAGUCAGAGGAAAAAAUUGGGUAUGGAUGUGCUAUUUGUUCAUGUGACUUAUCCUUUAGCAAAAAAGAUAGUUUCUUUCUAUAGAAGUAAUAUUGAUCAUCCGAACUUGAUCAGUACUCAAGUCAAACAAGAAAUUGAUCCAGA